AUGCUUACCUGGCGGGGGAGACACCAUGAUCAGGCAGGUGGUUUUCCCAGGGCGAGGCUCAUCCCCUGCACUCCGGGUGUGCUGACCCCUUCGAUUUCCCCAAAGGCGGGAAACUCAACUGCAUAAUUUGUGGUAGUGGGGGACUGCAAAAAGGAAUUUUUUUC
Phalacrocorax carbo (great cormorant) is the source of this 164-nucleotide non-coding RNA. NCBI's taxonomy places the organism in Eukaryota, Metazoa, Chordata, Aves, Suliformes, Phalacrocoracidae. The record is from Rfam.